This 693-nucleotide ribosomal RNA is filed under the name uncultured bacterium. RNAcentral's name for it is "bacterial SSU rRNA". It matches the Rfam family "Bacterial small subunit ribosomal RNA", at positions 32 to 715 of the family's 1533-position model. The record is from RNAcentral.
AACGCUAGCUACAGGCUUAACACAUGCAAGUCGAGGGGCAGCAUGGACUUAGCUUGCUAAGUUUGAUGGCGACCGGCGCACGGGUGAGUAACGCGUAUCCAACCUUCCGUACACUCAGGGAUAGCCUUUCGAAAGAAAGAUUAAUACCCGAUGGUAUAAAGAGUUCGCAUGUUCUCUUUAUUAAAGAAUUUCGGUAAGCGAUGGGGAUGCGUUCCAUUAGAUAGUUGGCGGGGUAACGGCCCACCAAGUCUACGAUGGAUAGGGGUUCUGAGAGGAAGGUCCCCCACAUUGGAACUGAGACACGGUCCAAACUCCUACGGGAGGCAGCAGUGAGGAAUAUUGGUCAAUGGACGAGAGUCUGAACCAGCCAAGUAGCGUGAAGGAUGACUGCCCUAUGGGUUGUAAACUUCUUUUAUAAGGGAAUAAAGUGAGGGACGUGUCCCUUUUUGUAUGUACCUUAUGAAUAAGGAUCGGCUAACUCCGUGCCAGCAGCCGCGGUAAUACGGAGGAUCCAAGCGUUAUCCGGAUUUAUUGGGUUUAAAGGGAGCGUAGGUUGACAUAUAAGUCAGCUGUGAAAGUUUACGGCUCAACCGUGAAAUUGCAGUUGAUACUGUAUGUCUUGAGUGUACAAGAGGUGGGCGGAAUUCGUGGUGUAGCGGUGAAAUGCUUAGAUAUCACGAAGAACUCCGAUUG